GUAAACAUGGCGCCGGGCGCUAGAACGCCGAGAGUUUCCGAAAUACCAAUCUACACCCUUGAUUUUCCCCAUACUUGUGUCAUUCCCUGAAAACAGAAAUGAAUGUCAGCUCAGAGGGUCAAAUAUGAAAAUAUGGCUUCCUGGAAAGCGACAAGUGAUGCAAAAUUUGGAGUCGUUGUUUACAAUUUUGACGGAAAUAUUACGCAUGGACUGCGGUUAACCAUUGGCGAAACUGUGCACAUUUUAGAAGAAUGCGCAGGUUGGUACAGGGGAUGUACUCUACGAAACAAAUCUGUAAAGGUAAGUUCUUC
Stylophora pistillata is the source of this 311-nucleotide long non-coding RNA. The record is from RefSeq and is a predicted model, not a curated record. NCBI's taxonomy places the organism in Eukaryota, Metazoa, Cnidaria, Anthozoa, Scleractinia, Pocilloporidae.